UAUAUAAAGAAAUCUUCGGAUGGAAAUAUAUAUUUCUUAGCGGCGGACGGGUGAGUAACGCGUGAGGAACCUGCCUUGUACUAGGGGAUAGCCUCGGGAAACCGGGAUUAAUACCCUAUGAUACUUGAGGAUCGCAUGAUUUUCAAGUCAAAGCGAUUAAGCGGUAUAAGAUGGACUCGCGUCCCAUUAGCUAGUUGGUGAGGUAAUAGCUCACCAAGGCGACGAUGGGUAGCCGGCCUGAGAGGGUGAACGGCCACACUGGAACUGAGACACGGUCCAGACUCCUACGGGAGGCAGCAGUGGGGAAUAUUGCACAAUGGAGGGAACUCUGAUGCAGCGACGCCGCGUGAGCGAUGAAGGUUUUCGGAUCGUAAAGCUCUGUCCUAAGGGACGAUAAUGACGGUACCUUAGGAGGAAGCCCCGGCUAACUACGUGCCAGCAGCCGCGGUAAUACGUAGGGGGCGAGCGUUGUCCGGAUUUAUUGGGCGUAAAGGGUGCGUAGGCGGCCUUGUAAGUCAGAUGUGAAAUCUCACGGCUUAACCGUGGUAAGCAUUUGAAACUGUGAGGCUUGAGUACAGGAGAGGAGAGUGGAAUUCCUAGUGUAGCGGUGAAAUGCGUAGAUAUUAGGAGGAAUACCAGUGGCGAAGGCGACUCUCUGGACUGUAACUGACGCUGAGGCACGAAAGCGUGGGGAGCAAACAGGAUUAGAUACCCUGGUAGUCCACGCCGUAAACGAUGAGUGCUA
This 745-nucleotide ribosomal RNA is filed under the name bacterium enrichment culture. RNAcentral describes it as "bacterial SSU rRNA". It matches the Rfam family "Bacterial small subunit ribosomal RNA", at positions 63 to 818 of the family's 1533-position model. The record is from RNAcentral.